GAUGAACGCUGGCGGCGUGCCUAAUACAUGCAAGUCGAGCGAACGGACGAGACGCUUGCUUCUCUGAUGUUAGCGGCGGACGGGUGAGUAACACGUGGAUAACCUACCUAUAAGACUGGGAUAACUUCGGGAAACCGGAGCUAAUACCGGAUAAUAUUUUGAACCGCAUGGUUCAAAAGUGAAAGACGGUCUUGCUGUCACUUAUAGAUGGAUCCGCGCUGCAUUAGCUAGUUGGUAAGGUAACGGCUUACCAAGGCAACGAUGCAUAGCCGACCUGAGAGGGUGAUCGGCCACACUGGAACUGAGACACGGACCAGACUCCUACGGGAGGCAGCAGUAGGGAAUCUUCCGCAAUGGGCGAAAGCCUGACGGAGCAACGCCGCGUGAGUGAUGAAGGUCUUCGGAUCGUAAAACUCUGUUAUUAGGGAAGAACAUAUGUGUAAGUAACUGUGCACAUCUUGACGGUACCUAAUCAGAAAGCCACGGCUAACUACGUG
This 497-nucleotide ribosomal RNA is filed under the name uncultured bacterium. Its description in RNAcentral is "partial 16S ribosomal RNA". It matches the Rfam family "Bacterial small subunit ribosomal RNA", at positions 28 to 507 of the family's 1533-position model. The record is from RNAcentral.